Molecule: ribosomal RNA, 253 nt
Filed under: uncultured bacterium
Lineage: Bacteria
Description: partial 16S ribosomal RNA
Rfam family: Bacterial small subunit ribosomal RNA
Source: RNAcentral
UACGUAGGGUGCAAGCGUUGUCCGGAAUUAUUGGGCGUAAAGAGCUCGUAGGCGGCCUGUCGCGUCUGCUGUGAAAACUCGGGGCUUAACUCCGGGCCUGCAGUGGGUACGGGCAGACUAGAGUGCGGUAGGGGAGACUGGAAUUCCUGGUGUAGCGGUGAAAUGCGCAGAUAUCAGGAGGAACACCGGUGGCGAAGGCGGGUCUCUGGGCCGUAACUGACGCUGAGGAGCGAAAGCGUGGGGAGCGAACAGG